UUGUCUUUGUGCGAGCUUCUGCAGGUCCCUUUCAGCAUUGAAGAUCCAGAUUACAAGGGGCUUGAGCUGGAUGUGAUGUCUCCAUGUGAGAAGCACGGCAUGGCAUCUGAGAGGCUUGUUGCCUUUGAAGGAACAGACACAGGCAGGAGGUUUUUAGCAUGUGCACAGCCGGAAGGUAGCAAUUGUGGCUUUGAUGAAUGGGUUGAUCACCAGUGGCCCCCAACAAUGCAGAAUGCAUUGUUGAAGCUAUGGGCAAUGGUUGAAGAUGCCAAAAGUGCUAGGGUGAAUGACAAUCUUGAAAGUUCUUUCACUAUCCACCAUCUGACAGAAGAGAAGAACAACCUGGAGGCCAACUAUGACAAGCUAGUCCAAGAUGUGCAUCAGCUUAUGAGCUUCCAGGAGGAUAGGGUGGUGGAUUUCAGACAUCUGCAGUCUGCCAUUACAUAUCAACAUGAAUGCAGAAGUGAGCUGGUGGCUGAUAUGAAUGCACAGAUGGCAAAGAAAGAUGCAGAGUUUGAGAAGUUUAAGCAGAAUUAUGAUGUGCUACUGAACCUGACAAGAGCUCAAGCUACAGUCAUCCAGAACCUGAAGUUGAAGCAUAUUACUGAUAAGCAAUUGCUUACUGAAGCUAAGAUGAACUUGGAGUUGAAGAAUGCAGAGCUCACAAAGUCUGAGGAGAAGCUGAAGGAGAAGAUCAAGGGGAUCCAGGCCAUCUUAGAGAAGUGA
This 726-nucleotide ribosomal RNA is filed under the name Triticum aestivum (bread wheat). Its description in RNAcentral is "partial small subunit ribosomal RNA". Lineage: Eukaryota; Viridiplantae; Streptophyta; Magnoliopsida; Poales; Poaceae. The record is from RNAcentral.